AUCCAACUGACGAGUCCCAGACAGGACGAAACACGCUUCCUGGAU
RNAcentral lists this non-coding RNA (45 nucleotides) under Schistosoma mattheei. Lineage: Eukaryota; Metazoa; Platyhelminthes; Trematoda; Strigeidida; Schistosomatidae. The record is from RNAcentral.